This 302-nucleotide ribosomal RNA is filed under the name uncultured bacterium. Its description in RNAcentral is "partial 16S ribosomal RNA". It matches the Rfam family "Bacterial small subunit ribosomal RNA", at positions 508 to 807 of the family's 1533-position model. The record is from RNAcentral.
GCAGUAGCCGCGGUAAUACGAAGGGUGCAAGCGUUAAUCGGAAUUACUGGGCGUAAAGCGUGCGUAGGCGGUGAGUUAAGUCUGCUGUGAAAUCCCCGGGCUCAACCUGGGAAUGGCAGUGGAUACUGGCUCGCUAGAGUGUGUCAGAGGAUGGUGGAAUUCCCGGUGUAGCGGUGAAAUGCGUAGAGAUCGGGAGGAACAUCAGUGGCGAAGGCGGCCAUCUGGGACAACACUGACGCUGAGGCACGAAAGCGUGGGGAGCAAACAGGAUUAGAUACCACCGUAGUCCCUGUCUCUUAUAC